Brassica napus (rape) is the source of this 1663-nucleotide long non-coding RNA. RefSeq lists it as uncharacterized. The record is from RefSeq and is a predicted model, not a curated record. Lineage: Eukaryota; Viridiplantae; Streptophyta; Magnoliopsida; Brassicales; Brassicaceae. The transcript is spliced from 2 exons.
UUAUUAAGAGAAGAGACACAACAACAAGUGAAUGAAGUGUUUCAGAGGGAAGAAGUGAAUCUAUAAGAAGAAUAAGACAAAGUACUUGUCCAGCUUGUGUGGAUUUGCUCUGCCUUUGCAUCAUCACCUGCCGCACCCAUUGCAACGUGCAACGGGUACAAAUGCUCAGGCCAUGGAUGCGCCAUUCUAGGGUUCGGAGCUUUCUCUUCCCAAUCAUUCACAUCUCCAUAUCUGGAACAAACCAAUCGUUUCAACCUUCCUUGAAGGAGAGAGUCUCUGAGCCAAAGAUCAAACUCUAAAGCCCAAGAAACCGAAGAGUCAGUAAAGACGUUAUAGCCACGCUUGCUCAAGUUAUGAGUAGCACUUCCAGAGCCAAUGAUAAGAACACCUUCCGCUUUCAGUGGAGCCAAUGACUUGCCCAUGUUGUAAUGGUAACUCCCAUUUUGAGAUGAUUGAACAGAGAGCUGGCAAACGGGUAUAUCCGCCUCUGGAUACAUCAACAUAAGAGGAAUCCAAGCUCCAUGAUCAAGUCCUCUGUUUGUAUCUUCAUCAACACGCUUCAUUCCUCCUCCUACCAUUAGCAGUUCUUUAACCCUCUUUCCCAGUUCAAUAGCUCCUGGUGCUUCGUACUUCAGCUGCAGACCACAAAUAUUGAAAACUGAUGCGUUUCUUUUCUUAAACGAUCUGCUAUAUCUGGUUAGGGUUUAGGACAAGCCCUAAGAUUGUGAGAGUGUCGGUGAGAAAGAGGAAUAGAGAGAUAGAGACCUUGUACAUGGGCUCAGGGAAACCAUUGAAGUCGUGGAUGGUUGUAUUACGGAGAACAGUGUUGACGGAUGGGAACUCGGUGUCCCAGUGUGCAGAGAUGACUAGAAUAGAUUUGGGUUUGUGUUGAAAAACUUUGUGAGACCAUGAUUUGAAGAAGUCUCUGGCCUCCAAGCUAUCGUCUAUGCUCAACCUGGGAGUUCCGUGAGAUAAGAAGAAUGUUUGGUUCAUUUUCUCCAUUGAGUCUCCCUCUCUCUCUUACUAUGUGUGUGUUCUUGUCUUCUUGAUGAUUCUUGCCUCUUUUUCACCUGAGUAUUCUCUGCCUUUCUAUUAUUAUGUGGGGAAGAAAGAUAGGGAGGGGCCACACCCACCAGACCCAACUGAGUAUACUUUACACAAUUACACAUGUGCUUUUCUGAAGUGGCACAUAAAUCAUCAAAAAGAAAGAGAGAGAGUGAAGAAAUGUUUUCGUAUGAGAACUUUUAAAGAAACCAUAAAGAAAAUGGCAUUUACAAAGGCGCAGGACAUGCAAAAGGAAAUGUUGUUUCAUCACCGUUGGAAGCGGAAUAUAAUGCACUUAUAGUAGCUAUGAAACAAUGUUGGAUACGUGGCUACAGAAAGGUGAUCUCUGAAGGUAAUAACAAGAAAAUGUUUGAUAAUUUACAGUCAAGAAAAUUGCAAUUUGGAUUGUACAAUUCGGUUAGAGAAGCAAGAUGGUGGAGCAGAAAAUUUCAGGAGGUUGAAUUCCAAUGGAUCAAAAGAACCGGAAAUGAAGUGUUGGACAAAAUGGCCAAGCUGGAUAUACCGGAAGAGGGUUUAUUUGAAUUUUAUUACUAUGUUCCUAGACCCUUAUCAUCUAUGUUACAUAACGAUUAUGUAAACUCAAUUUAAGAUAAUGCAA